RNAcentral lists this ribosomal RNA (404 nucleotides) under Verrucomicrobiota bacterium. RNAcentral's name for it is "Verrucomicrobia bacterium partial 16S ribosomal RNA". It matches the Rfam family "Bacterial small subunit ribosomal RNA", at positions 355 to 776 of the family's 1533-position model. Lineage: Bacteria; Pseudomonadati; Verrucomicrobiota. The record is from RNAcentral.
UGGGGAAUAUUGCACAAUGGGGGAAACCCUGAUGCAGCGACGCCGCGUGAGCGAUGAAGGCUUUCGAGUCGUAAAGCUCUGUCCUAUGGGAAGAUAAUGACGGUACCAUAGAAGAAAGCCCCGGCUAAUUACGUGCCAGCAGCCGCGGUAAUACGUAGGUGGCAAGCGUUGUCCGGAAUUAUUGGGCGUAAAGCGCGCGCAGGUGGUUUAGAAAGUCUGAUGUGAAAGCCCACGGCUCAACCGUGGAGGGUCAUUGGAAACUAAUAAACUUGAGUGCAGGAGAGAAAAGUGGAAUUCCUAGUGUAGCGGUGAAAUGCGUAGAGAUUAGGAGGAACACCGGUGGCGAAAGCGGCUUUUUGGCCUGCAACUGACACUGAGGCGCGAAAGCGUGGGGAGCAAACAGG